Molecule: long non-coding RNA, 609 nt
Organism: Alosa alosa (allis shad)
Lineage: Eukaryota; Metazoa; Chordata; Actinopteri; Clupeiformes; Clupeidae
Exons: 4
Source: RefSeq, a predicted model, not a curated record
UAAACUCCUGAUGACAUGUCCAAAAACAUGUCAAAGUAAAGAAGAAUCACCUUGAUGUAAAACCUGAGUGUAAGAGGAAAUGAAAGGAGGAACACAAGCAAGAGCAACAAGAGUUCACCAAAUCAAUCGGCAUGAUAGUUGAACUGAGGUUAAAGCAGAAUGGAUGCUUCACCACCAAAUUUGCCUGCUUUCGUGAUUCUAUGUUUAACCUCCAUCAUGCAUCAAAACUGGGCUUUGGAGGUGACCUGUACGGGGAAACUCACGCUGGACCCUGGCCCACUGGUGGAAUGGGGGUCUUCGUUGAGCGUCUUCUGCCAGAUAAAUGAGUGCCGUGCAGGUCCUCAAAACCCCUUCUCCAUAAAGCUCAACUACAAGCCACUACACCUUGUGGAACAGAACUGCACGACAGCCCGGCUCCACAUAGCCAACAUGACUGCCUUAGGUUCCCAUCUGUUUUGUUUAGUGGGCAAACGAGUUGUUUGUGGAAUAGACCUGAAAUCUGGACAUCGGCCAGCCAAAGCGACUCAGUUUAACUGUUUCACACCAAUUAAGUCUGACACCAUCAGCUGCUCUUGGAUUAACGGAAGGGAAACCCACCUUCCAACAAAC